This 70-nucleotide transfer RNA is filed under the name Loxosomella aloxiata. Its description in RNAcentral is "tRNA-His". Lineage: Eukaryota; Metazoa; Entoprocta; Loxosomatidae. The record is from RNAcentral.
UGUUUAAGUAGUUUAAUUAAAAUUUGAAAUUGUGGUUUUCAAGAUACAUAUAAAAAGUUUGUCUUAAACA